RNAcentral lists this non-coding RNA (27 nucleotides) under Homo sapiens (human). Lineage: Eukaryota; Metazoa; Chordata; Mammalia; Primates; Hominidae. The record is from RNAcentral.
UGCCAAACAUGUUGGGCCACUAAAGCU